This 726-nucleotide ribosomal RNA is filed under the name Salmonella enterica. RNAcentral's name for it is "partial 23S ribosomal RNA". It matches the Rfam family "Bacterial large subunit ribosomal RNA", at positions 743 to 1381 of the family's 2925-position model. Lineage: Bacteria; Pseudomonadati; Pseudomonadota; Gammaproteobacteria; Enterobacterales; Enterobacteriaceae. The record is from RNAcentral.
GGUUGAAGGUUGGGUAACACUAACUGGAGGACCGAACCGACUAAUGUUGAAAAAUUAGCGGAUGACCUGUGGCUGGGGGUGAAAGGCCAAUCAAACCGGGAGAUAGCUGGUUCUCCCCGAAAGCUAUUUAGGUAGCGCCUCGUGAAUUCAUCUCCGGGGGUAGAGCACUGUUUCGGCUAGGGGGCCAUCCCGGCUUACCAACCCGAUGCAAACUGCGAAUACCGGAGAAUGUUAUCACGGGAGACACACGGCGGGUGCUAACGUCCGUCGUGAAGAGGGAAACAACCCAGACCGCCAGCUAAGGUCCCAAAGUCAUGGUUAAGUGGGAAACGAUGUGGGAAGGCCCAGACAGCCAGGAUGUUGGCUUAGAAGCAGCCAUCAUUUAAAGAAAGCGUAAUAGCUCACUGGUCGAGUCGGCCUGCGCGGAAGAUGUAACGGGGCUAAACCAUGCACCGAAGCUGCGGCAGCGAACGUAUCACCCAAGACAACUUUACGGAGUUGACGAUUGACGGAGCGAAGCGACGUCAAAGCGUUCAUUAAAGUCGAGUUGGCUUAGGGAUACGUUCGUUGGGUAGGGGAGCGUUCUGUAAGCCUGUGAAGGUGUGUCGUGAGGCAUGCUGGAGGUAUCAGAAGUGCGAAUGCUGACAUAAGUAACGAUAAAGCGGGUGAAAAGCCCGCUCGCCGGAAGACCAAGGGUUCCUGUCCAACGUUAAUCGGGGCAGGGUG